CUCUGCGCAAGGGAUCUUUUGGUUCGCUAGACGAAGAAGGGCGCAGCGGAAUGCGAAAUGUGCAGGAGUCGCAGCGAAGAUAGCACAUGCCUGAAAUCACGAGAGUGUGAGACUACCCCUUUGAAUUAAGCAUAUGAGUAAAGGGAGGAAAAGAAACUAACAAGGAUUCCUGUAGUAGCGGC
RNAcentral lists this ribosomal RNA (182 nucleotides) under Loma lingcodae. RNAcentral describes it as "partial large subunit ribosomal RNA". The stretch from base 93 to 182 matches the Rfam family "Eukaryotic large subunit ribosomal RNA", at positions 1 to 90 of the family's 3401-position model. The record is from RNAcentral. Lineage: Eukaryota; Fungi; Microsporidia; Glugeidae.